Molecule: ribosomal RNA, 494 nt
Filed under: uncultured bacterium
Lineage: Bacteria
Description: partial 16S ribosomal RNA
Rfam family: Bacterial small subunit ribosomal RNA
Source: RNAcentral
GACGAACGCUGGCGGCGUGCCUAAUACAUGCAAGUAGAACGCUGAAGGAGGAGCUUGCUUCUCUGGAUGAGUUGCGAACGGGUGAGUAACGCGUAGGUAACCUGCCUGGUAGCGGGGGAUAACUAUUGGAAACGAUAGCUAAUACCGCAUAAUAGCAGUUGUUGCAUGACAACUGUUUGAAAGGUGCAAUUGCACCACUACCAGAUGGACCUGCGUUGUAUUAGCUAGUUGGUGGGGUAACGGCUCACCAAGGCGACGAUACAUAGCCGACCUGAGAGGGUGAUCGGCCACACUGGGACUGAGACACGGACCAGACUCCUACGGGAGGCAGCAGUAGGGAAUCUUCGGCAAUGGACGGAAGUCUGACCGAGCAACGCCGCGUGAGUGAAGAAGGUUUUCGGAUCGUAAAGCUCUGUUGUAAGAGAAGAACGAGUGUGAGAGUGGAAAGUUCACACUGUGACGGUAUCGUACCAGAAAGGAACGGCUAACUACGU